AAUGCGAUAAGUAAUGUGAAUUGCAGAAUUCAGUGAAUCAUCGAAUCUUUGAACGCACCUUGCGCUCCUCGGUAUUCCGUGGAGCAUGCCUGUUUGAGUGUCAU
Molecule: ribosomal RNA, 104 nt
Filed under: Lopharia cinerascens
Lineage: Eukaryota; Fungi; Basidiomycota; Agaricomycetes; Polyporales; Polyporaceae
Description: partial 5.8S ribosomal RNA
Rfam family: 5.8S ribosomal RNA
About the family: 5.8S ribosomal RNA (5.8S rRNA) is a component of the large subunit of the eukaryotic ribosome. It is transcribed by RNA polymerase I as part of the 45S precursor that also contains 18S and 28S rRNA.
Source: RNAcentral